RNAcentral lists this long non-coding RNA (6644 nucleotides) under Medicago truncatula (barrel medic). RNAcentral's name for it is "long non-coding RNA (MTRU_LNC002423)". The record is from RNAcentral. Lineage: Eukaryota; Viridiplantae; Streptophyta; Magnoliopsida; Fabales; Fabaceae.
GGGUGAGAGAAGAAACAAUUUGGUCCUUGGAGAUGUUAACAGCAGCUCUAGCUUCAUUUGGAGGGGUGAAGAGAGUAAGUAGUGAAAUGGUGGUUGAUGUUGGUAAUGAUAUGCGUCUAAGUUGAGGUUUUGAGAAAGUGGUGAUUGUGUGAGGUAAGGUAGAAGGAGAUGGAAGAGAAGGUUUUGGUGUUGGUAGUGAAGACAUGGCUGUAAUCUCCAUUGCCAUUGUUAGUUGCUAGUGGUUGGUUUGGUUGAUGAUAGAGGAGUGAAGUGGAGUAGUGUUUAUGUUUGUGUUUAGUGUGAUUAGAGAUGUGUGGUUGAUAUCUAAAGAUUCGACCACUUUUUUUGUUCACCUAUGUAGCAUCUUUGUAUUUGAGGUUUCAACAUCAUCACCAUUCCACGUGGAAUUUUUGUUUUGGAGGAGAAUAUAAUUUGGGAGAUUCUCAUUGGUAGACUGAACUUGAUUUGAAUAUUUAGUAGUGUGAUGUGUGAAUAUCAUUCAUCUUUCUUCAACAGCCAUAAUUUAUGUUUAGUUAAUGGGUAGUAUAGUAAAUUCACAGUAGCCAUGCAAAUAGAUCAGACCACGUACAAAACAUGAAAAGAAAAGGGAGGAAAACAAUUCUGUUCCAAUGCAAACUUCAAUUCUUGUUCUCAAUCUUUCAACUAGGUGAGUUUUCAAUUCAAAUCUUAGAAAUGGUUUUGGGAAUGAGAAAUAGAUGAUGUUGAAAUUGGGAUUUUUAGAGAUUCUUAUGAGUUUAGUAAUUGCAUGUGUAGGAAAAGUGAUGCAUAUUGCUGUUAGUAAUAAGAAUUUCAAAUUCUGAAAGUGAAACAGUGCGUAAUGUAUGCAUGGAGGAACACAAGUUCCAAUUGAGACAGUAGAAAAAAUGAAAGGAAUCAAUUCAAAUCAUAAUGAAAGAAAGAUAAUGAAGUUUAUUUAUCUCAAAUUUAUUUAUUUAAUUUCUUAAAAAAAAAAUUUUAAAAAAAACUUAUUUAUUUAAGUGAAAUAAAAACAUGGGCCAAAAAAAACUUGCAUCCCGAAUUGGGUUUGACUGGGUAACCGAUUUUGUAAAAUUUCUAUAACUUGUCAGGUUUUUGACUUAGGGCCGUUGAUAUUCACUCACAUCACUCCCGAUCACGUUUCUAAAUUCUAAUUUUGGUUCGUUUCUUCUUCUUAAUUGAGAUUUUGUUUAAGAGAAUCUGUGAAAUUGAGUGUCUUGUCAUGUAAUUUUAAACUCUUCAUGACUUUUAUUUUUUGUUGCUUUUUCAAUUCUAGUUGAUAGUUCAAUCUUUUAUGAAAUUUUUGGGGGUUAUGGUUUAAAACCUUUUUUUUUUUGUUACAAUGAUUUAAAACCUUUGAAUUAGGGCUUUUAUUAUUAUUAAAUAUUAAAAUAAAGUAGAUUUGUUUUUAAUUUUUGGCGCUUUUACAAAUUUUGUUCUUUCUUAGUUUUGGAAUUUGAAGGAGCGUCGCUAGCAGCAGUCGAAUCACGCAAGUUCAAAUGGGUAACUCAAAUAAUCUAUUUUAUAUAUUGGUUAACAUGCACUUCAUCCAUCUGUUAUGAUGUACAUUUUGAGUUUAAAACCAUGUGAAGAUAAAAUUCUUGUUGUUUUCCUGUUUUAUGAAAAUGCAACCUCUUGAUUGAGUGUUAAUAUGCACAUGAUUUGGUUAUGUUUUUUUUAUCUUGAUUCAGUCCAUUUCAUUCUCUAUUAUUAUAUCCAAUGCCGUUCUUCUAUUCUGUUAGUUGCUAUUGUUGUUGUGCCUUGUUCCUUUUUUAACUUUCAAUCAACCAUAUUAAAAUAACCUCACCCUUUCAUUUUUUAUUUGAUCAAAACAUUAAACAGAAUUUGCUAAGGAGCAUUGUUUAAAUACAAACAAAAAUGAAGUUGCUAAGAAACAAAAAGUAAGACGCAUAGGGAGAAAGUUUCGUCUGGAGAAUGUUCGUCGUGCAAGAAACAAGAACGAAGUUGCCGCAGAGCGAGAGAAACAGUUUCUUGCUAAUAAUAAAAAAAGAGCAAGUAAGUUUUACUCAAUGCUGUAAUGAUGUAUUGAUAUGUUCUUUGCAGUUAUAUUAAUUUGGGUUAACAUGUACUUCGUCCAUCUGUUAUGAUUUACAUCUUGACUUUAAAACUAUGUGAACAUACAAUUAUUUUUGCUUUCCUGUUUUUAUGAAAAUGCAAGUUCUUGAUUGAGUGUUAAUAUACACAUAUGUUUAUCUUGCCAUUGUUGCCAGGCUUGGGAAAUUCAGCCCAUUUCAUUCUCUAUUAUCUCCUAUGGCUGUUGUGUGUUGUCUUUUUUUUAUAAGCGUUAGCGCAAUAAGAAGAGUGGAACGGGCCGGUCUCUUCUAGCUUAACCAAGUAGGUCCUGGGUUCGAAUCCAGCCUUGGGCAUGCAGCAGUGUUAAAACUCUUAGGGAGAGCCUGCCGCCCAUUUGGGUCCCACAAUGCUCGAAGAAUUAGUCUCCGUAGUUGCGCGUGGAGGAUACCCGAUUUACACCAAAAAAAAAAAAAAAAAGUGGAACACUCCGCACCCGUACGCUAAUCUAUACACCUUAUGUUCUUUUUCCUUUUUAAGUGUCAUUUUGCAAUAUUAACAUUGUAUUUUUGUACCUUUACUUUCUAUUAUACUCUUAUUUUAAUCCACCAAUAUAUUCAUAUUUUUUUCACACACUUUCUCUUUCCAAUAAAUUGAGUAUAUUAUCUUUUUUCGUAAGUCUCUCUCAUAACAAACAAUUGUUAAUUUUGAGAUAACAAGAAACAAAUUUUGUUUUUUAAAAAAAACUUUAGUUUACCAUAUAUAUAUAGUUUUAAUUAGUUUGAUUGAAAAAGAUAAGAGUAAUUAACAAAUGAUGUAAUCGACAAAUCGUACUUUUAAAAUUUCAAAAGAUUAUUAAAUAGAAAAGCUAAAUCCGCAUUCAAACGACACUUAAAAAAGAACGAACGUAAACAUAAUUAUCAAUAUUUGAAAGAAGCAAAAUUUCAUGAAAUAGCAAAUUUUUUCUAUGACGAUGCUAUAUUGAUGGUGUUUUAAAAUCAAUAACAAAAAUAAGAAUUUUUUGUUAUACUUGUUAUAUUAUUAUUGUAAAAAGAUAAAUAUAAUUCGUUGAGUUUGUUACAUUUUUUUGAAAGUUAUAAAUAUCUAUUCUUAUAAUUUUUAAUCUAUAUAAAAAAAAUUAUUUAAAAUGUAUUCCAUUAUUUUCUCCAGCAGCCGAUCGAAUUGUUUUCUGUUGCAAACAUAAAUUAUUCAGAUUGCAUAGUUUUCGGAAACUAUAACAUUUGUUACAAAAACAAAUUUACAUAUAAGAAAUUAAAAUAGAUUUACGGUACCUAAAAAAAUCAAUUUAGGUUUGCUCUCUUCCCUUCCCAUCCCAGGUUCGUUUGAGUGUAGCAAGAUGGCAAAAUUGAUCACUGUGUUAUCAAUAUUUCUAAUUGUAUUGAUAUCCAAAUGCAAUUCCUUGAUGCCAUUUUCAACUAUACAUUGUAAAUCAAUUAUAACUGAUAUGAUGGGGGAGUGUAAACCAUAUUACAUGGACCAAAAUUCACAACCAUAUGAUUCAUGUUGUUCUGCAUUUCUUACGGUUGCAUUUGUGAUAUUAAAUUGGAAGAAAUCGACAAUUUACCUUUCGAUGCCACAAACACGGCCAACUUGCUUACUCUUAGUGGAGUAUCCCUCUCCUGUCAAGGUAAAUAAUUAACUCUUAACUCUUUUAUCUUUUCUUGUUUUAUGUAUUGAUAAUUAUGUUUACAUUGUUUGAUGCUAAUAAGGUUAGUACCACUGCUCCAUCCCUCGGUACGUAAACUAUGCUUUUCUUUUAUUAGGUAUAGGGAGACACCAACCAUUUAUCUCUCGUCACUUAUAUGAACAUUUUCAAUUGUAUUUUUAUUUGUUGUCACGCCAACAUUAAUAUUUAGCUUAUAUUUGAAUUAAUCACAUCAAAAGAAAUCAAUCAAUAUAGUGUUGAAAAAGUUGAAAGGAACCUGAGUUUGAUUCCUAGAGUCACCUAUUUAAGAGAUAGUCUACUUGUGAAAAAAGAGUUAGCCAAUAUUAACUUAGUAUUAGUUGAUCCGUUUGGACCUUAGGAGAUGAUUGAUUGAUUGAGAUCUGUUGUGAAGAGCGGUUGAGCUUUAGUUCUUUUGAUGCGUGUCCUUCUCCCCUGGUCUCGGUGUACCUACAUGUUCUCCGAAGCCCAAAUCAAUAAGGAGUUCAAGAAAGUAUGUGGCUAUAUCAUGGGUAAGAAAUAUCAUACCUGACCCAAGGAUUGAGCAAGGGUAUAUAUAGUGGAUACGUAUGAUUUUAACUCAUAGUCCUUUAUCUAUAUAGCUGUCCUUAAGGGGAUGUGAGUGACAAUCAGAGUGGUCUGCUGCAUAAGAUUCAGAAUAGGAGGUGAGGAACUCUCGAUUUAGACCAUAAUCCAAUAGGAUUUAGGGCAUGUCCAUCGUAUCGUGUCACUUGCUAUUGGGGCUCAGGUCGGAACUGAUCCCAAUCGAAUUGAAUCUUGGGUCACCCCAAAACAUUAGUCUUAUAAAGGAUCCAAAAGUCUAAGCUCCAAACAAAUUUCAUCUUUCUUGAAAGCAUGUAAAUCACUUUAAAACUGAUCAUGAUUUCAACAGAGUCAAAGUUGGAAAUAGUUGUUGUAUUCAAUUAAUAGUUUUAAUGAAUUUAUGUUUGUUAUGUGAUAUUGUAGUUGAUGCUCCUAAACUAUAUGCUUUAGAGAGUUUGGUUUCCAGUUUGGCUCCUAAAAGUGCAAGUUCAUCACAGCCCCCUCCACAACAGAGUUCAAAGUCACUUUCAAGUUAUGCUCCAAAUUCUCCAUUGUUACUGACAGCACCAGCACCAAUGCAAGAGGCAAAUGACAAUGAUGUGCCAGCUCCUCCAUCACCAAAUCAAGCGCCAAUACACGUGCCAGAUGACGGUUCAAUCCAUUUUUUUCUAUUGUUAAUUUUCUUGGCGUCGGUUUUUGUGAUAUUUAGCUUGAUUAAAGUUAAUGCAGAUGCUUAUGCACAAUGAACAAAUACGACAUAGAGACGGACAUGUCGACACCAAAUGGUUGUGAAGGCUUUCAAUCAUGCUGUUGGUAUUCCUUGGAGAAUGCAAGCUAGAUGGCAAAAUUGUUUGCAAAUUUGCACCCAUAUCACUUGUAAAUGCACUCACAUUCUUAGAGAGGGAAACUUAGUAGCUGAUUCCUUAGCUAAAAAUGCACAAAAUCAUGCUAUGUUCUCCUCUCAGUGGUGGGAGCUUCCUCCCACUUUUGUGCAGUCUUUGCUUUUUAGAGAUAGUUUAAGUUUGCCUUUUUCUAGAAUUUCUAUGGACUAAUCUUUGUUAUAGGUUCAGGCCUCUCCUGUUUUUUUAAUAAAUUUCCCUGCUUGAUCAAAAAAAAAAAUAUAUCAACCCAAAUCUCUCCAAAGGCAUGUGACAGUAUAAACAUUUAGUAGUACAAUGGAAAGUGAUGGUGUAAAAAUGGACCUCAAACCAACACUCACCGUCAUAAUUGCUUUCUAUCCACUGGCGACCAUAUAAAACCAAAGACAUAAAAGAGCUUGUGUAUGGAAUUUGGAUCCCAAAUGUUUAUUAAGUACAUUAUAGCUCAAAUAAGACUCUAAUUCAACAUUACAAAAACAUUACAUUCCCCUAAAUGUGUUAACUAACAUUGCCAUGACACAGAUAAAUGUUACCAAAACAAAUGUCAUUAUCAACCCGGAUAUAAUUGGUCUCAAAUAACAGAGGAAGAGUAUGUUUGAAUUGAUUUAUUUGAGCUUAUGUACUAGUAUAAAAACUUGUGAGAUUGUCUGAAAGAGUUUAUAAACAGAACUUAUGACAUGUUGAUAAGUUGUUUUCAACUUAUAUUCAUAAGCUCUUCGGGAUAACUUAUGAAAACAACUUACUUGUAUAAAAACAGUUUGGCUUUAUUUUUUCUUUUGUUCUAGAAAUAGCUUACACAUAAACACUUAUAUAAUUAUCGCUUAUACUAUAAGUGCUUAACUAAAUUGAUUAUCCAAACGGUCCCAAUCCCAAAAAUCAAUGAAUUAAGCAAACCUUAGCAGCAGUUUGUGUAUCAAGACCAAAGCUCUGAAGUGCUUCUUGGACGCCUCAGAGAAAGCUGGAGAAGCAAAUUUCAAGGCCUCUUGUCCAGCCUGCUGCACAAUUGGCAACGUCGUAUCGAAGCCAGGCUUCAAAGCACUCCCUACAGCUUCAGAAACAUGUUGUGCUGAGUCCAAAAAACCAGAACCAACCACCUGAACCUGAUCAAUAGUCUGCUCCACCUAAAUAAAAUAAAAAAUGCAUUUCUAGUUAAAGGGCAUGAAUGUAAAAUUGAAGGAAGUUGGUAAAGUUUGAAACUUUGGAAGAAAAACUUUACUUGGGUGAGAGAAGAAACAAUUUGGUCCUUGGAGAUGUUGACAGCAGCUCUAGCUUCAUUUGGAGGGAUGAAGAGAGUAAGUAGUGAAAUGGUGGUUGAUGUUGGUAACGAUAUGCGUCUAAGUUGAGGUUUUGAGAAGGUGGUGAUUGUGUGAGGUAAGGUAGAAGGAGAUGGAAGAGAAGGUUUUGGUGUUGGUAGUGAAGCCAUAGCUGCAAUCUCCAUCGCCAUUGUUGGAAGAGUGAAGUGGAGUAGUGUUUGUGUUUGUGUUUGUAGUGUGAUUAGAGAUGUGUUGCCA